UUGACAAGUCAAAUAAUUUAAAAUAUUUUAUAAUUAUUAAAUAUAAAAAUAUAUGAACAACGUUCUUUAAUAAGUUAAGUUUUAAAAGUACAACGAUUGUUUUAUAUGAUGUCAGAACAAAAGGUUACGCUCCUAAAUUAUUAAUUUUCUCAUUAUUAAUUUUAUCUCAUUUAGUUCAAGUCUACGUCAUGUAUCUUGCAAAAAGUGUCGAGUCUAGACAUGAGAAGGAGUGUUAAAUAUAAAAAUAUUCUCUAACAGCUUAAAUUUUUAUAAGGCAGCGUUUGGUUAGGGGAUAGGAAUAGGAAUAGGCCCUUAUCCCCCCCUUUAUACCCAAACGCUAAUUUUUUAUCCGAGAAUAGUAGUUCUCGGUUAUCCCCACCAACACCUCUAUUUUCUAUAUAAAACUACCUAAAAUUGUUCUUAUCCCCGGGAACAACCCAAUUUUCAUCCAAACACUAUUUUUCUUAUCUCCAUACUUGUACCUAUCCCUGUAAUAGCUAGUUCUUGCUUAUACCCGAACCAAACGGUACCUUAGAGUACAACGAUUAUUUCACGAUAAUAAAUACAAUUG
RNAcentral lists this long non-coding RNA (571 nucleotides) under Ananas comosus (pineapple). Its description in RNAcentral is "long non-coding RNA (ACOM_LNC002931)". The record is from RNAcentral. Lineage: Eukaryota; Viridiplantae; Streptophyta; Magnoliopsida; Poales; Bromeliaceae.